RNAcentral lists this long non-coding RNA (386 nucleotides) under Manihot esculenta (cassava). RNAcentral describes it as "long non-coding RNA (MESC_LNC001071)". The record is from RNAcentral. Lineage: Eukaryota; Viridiplantae; Streptophyta; Magnoliopsida; Malpighiales; Euphorbiaceae.
UCGUCCCUUUCGCACAGAGCAUCCACGGUGGAGGACAGCUGCUUCAGAACUUCUCCACAACGAACCUCUGCCGCAGCUGCCCUCUCGUCAGACUCUUGGAGAACCCUCCUGAUGUGAGACAAUUCUGCUUCUAGAGACUGGGCAUGCUUUCGCACCUCAGAUGUCUCCUCCUCUGCCUUCUUACGGGCCUCCUUGGCUGCGUGUAAAUCGAACUGGAGGGACCUAUAGUCCUCUUGGACUGGGGCGAGAUUGCCCCGGGCAUCGCUGGACGCGGAUAAAUUCUCCUCAAGACGUGCUUCCUCGAUCCGACGGUCCACUGAGUCCUUGAGGGCACGAUCCUGGGCAUCCAUCUCCAUGAAUAUGCCAGUAACCUAGUAAACAAGAAG